CCUACGGGUGGCAGCAGUGGGGGAUCUUUCACAAUGGGGGGAACCCUGAUGCAGCGACGCCGCGUGGGGGAAGAAGGGCCUCGGCGUGUAAAGCCCUUUUAUCAGGGAAGAAAAUGACGGUACCUUAAGAAGAAGCCCCGGCUAACUACGUGCCAGCAGCCGCGGUAAUACGUAGGGGGCAAGCGUUAUCCGGAUUUACUGGGUGUAAAGGGGUGCCAGGGGGGGAUGCAAGCUAGGAGUGAAAGCCCGGGGCCCAACCCCCGGACUGCUCGUGAAACUGCGUGGCUGGAGUGCAGGAGGGGCAGGCGGAAUUCCUGGUGUAGCGGUGAAAUGCGUAGAUAUCAGGAGGAACACCGGUGGCGAAGGCGGCCUGCUGGACUGGAACUGACGUUGAGGCACGAAAGCGUGGGGAGCAAACGGGAUUAGAUACCCGGGUAGUC
This 440-nucleotide ribosomal RNA is filed under the name uncultured bacterium. RNAcentral describes it as "partial 16S ribosomal RNA". It matches the Rfam family "Bacterial small subunit ribosomal RNA", at positions 338 to 795 of the family's 1533-position model. The record is from RNAcentral.